AUCGCUUCUUGGCCUUUUGGCUAAGAUCGAGUGUAUGUUUAUAUGUGUAUAUAUAUGUAUGUAUGCAUAUAUACAUGUGUGUAUAUAUAUGCAUAUGUGUGUACAUACAUGCAUAUAUACAUAUUCUAU
This is a small nuclear RNA of 129 nucleotides. Its record names the gene U2. It matches the Rfam family "U2 spliceosomal RNA". From Rfam's summary of the family: U2 is a small nuclear RNA (snRNA) component of the spliceosome (involved in pre-mRNA splicing). The record is from Ensembl.